GAUGAACGCUGGCGGCGUGCUUAAUACAUGCAAGUCGAACGAAGACUUCUCGCUGAAUUGAAUUCAUUCUUUUCUUGAGAUGUCUUAGUGGCGGACGGGUGAGUAACGCGUGGGUAACCUGCCUUACACAGGGGGAUAACAGUUAGAAAUGACUGCUAAUACCGCAUAAGCGCACAGUAUCGCAUGAUACAGUGUGAAAAACUCCGGUGGUGUAAGAUGGACCCGCGUCUGAUUAGCUAGUUGGUGAGGUAACGGCCCACCAAGGCGACGAUCAGUAGCCGGCCUGAGAGGGUGAACGGCCACAUUGGGACUGAGACACGGCCCAAACUCC
This 331-nucleotide ribosomal RNA is filed under the name uncultured Lachnospiraceae bacterium. Its description in RNAcentral is "bacterial SSU rRNA". It matches the Rfam family "Bacterial small subunit ribosomal RNA", at positions 28 to 339 of the family's 1533-position model. The record is from RNAcentral. Lineage: Bacteria; Bacillati; Bacillota; Clostridia; Lachnospirales; Lachnospiraceae.